GCCCGGGUCGCCUAAUUGGUAUGGCGCAGCCCUGGAGAGGCUGUGGCCGAAAGGCCGUGUGGGUUCGAAUCCCACCCCGGGCG
RNAcentral lists this transfer RNA (83 nucleotides) under Candidatus Aenigmatarchaeota archaeon. Its description in RNAcentral is "tRNA-Ser". It matches the Rfam family "tRNA". From Rfam's summary of the family: Transfer RNA (tRNA) molecules are approximately 80 nucleotides in length. Their secondary structure includes four short double-helical elements and three loops (D, anti-codon, and T loops). Further hydrogen bonds mediate the characteristic L-shaped molecular structure. tRNAs have two regions of fundamental functional importance: the anti-codon, which is responsible for specific mRNA codon recognition, and the 3' end, to which the tRNAs corresponding amino acid is attached (by aminoacyl-tRNA synthetases). tRNAs cope with the degeneracy of the genetic code in two manners: having more than one tRNA (with a specific anti-codon) for a particular amino acid; and 'wobble' base-pairing, i.e. permitting non-standard base-pairing at the 3rd anti-codon position. Lineage: Archaea; Nanobdellati; Candidatus Aenigmatarchaeota. The record is from RNAcentral.